CGGGCCUUUCCGCCGCCUUAAGCAAGCGGGCACCGAAUUCAGGAAAGGAUUUCCAACGGCCGUAAACGCAGGCACGAUCCAGUGCUUGCAUUCGCGGUAACAUCUUCGGUGGUGGCAAUCGUGAAGCGGUCUUGCAGGGACCGCACAAUGAAACGGUACUUUUGUAUUGUGAUCGUUGUAUCUGGUGUGUUGUUGCUAUCCGGUAACGGGGGCUGGAGUAUCUCCGGCAACUCAAUUACGGUGACCAUCAACACAGCUGGCAAGUAAUCUCAGUGGCCACCCUCUCCGGGCGGUUCACU
RNAcentral lists this small RNA (299 nucleotides) under uncultured Erwinia sp. Its description in RNAcentral is "ryfA RNA". It matches the Rfam family "ryfA RNA". From Rfam's summary of the family: This family consists of a number of bacterial RNA genes of 305 bases in length. The ryfA RNA gene is present in E. coli, Shigella flexneri and Salmonella species where it is found between the ydaN and dbpA genes. Lineage: Bacteria; Pseudomonadati; Pseudomonadota; Gammaproteobacteria; Enterobacterales; Erwiniaceae. The record is from RNAcentral.